RNAcentral lists this ribosomal RNA (1241 nucleotides) under metagenome. RNAcentral's name for it is "bacterial LSU rRNA". It matches the Rfam family "Bacterial large subunit ribosomal RNA", at positions 1564 to 2815 of the family's 2925-position model. The record is from RNAcentral.
UGAAUACGAGACGCUACGGCGUCGAAGCAGUCUAUGUCAUACUUCCAAGAAAAGCUUGCACUGUCAUAAACAAAUAAUGCCUGUACCAUAACCGACACAGGUGGGUAGGUAAAGUAUACUAAGGGGCGCGAGAUAACUCUCUCUAAGGAACUCGGCAAAAUGACUCCGUAACUUCGGGAGAAGGAGUGCCUUAUUUAUAAGGUUGCAAUAACAAGAUCCAAGCAACUGUUUAUCAAAAACACAGGUCUCCGCUAAGUCGUAAGACGAUGUAUGGGGGCUGACGCCUGCCCAGUGCCAGAAGGUUAAAGAAGUUGGUUAGCAUUAGCGAAGCUGAUAACUGAAGCCCUGGUGAACGGCGGCCGUAACUAUAACGGUCCUAAGGUAGCGAAAUUCCUUGUCGGGUAAGUUCCGACCCGCACGAAAGGCGUAAUGAUUUGGAUACUGUCUCAGAGAGGGGCUCGGUGAAAUAGACUUGUCUGUGAAGAUGCGGACUACCUGCACCAGGACAGAAAGACCCUAUGAAGCUUUACUGUAACUUGAAAUUGAAAUUGGACUUUAUUUGCGCAGUAUAGGUGGGAGGCAUUGAUAAUAUUCUUGCGGGAAUGUUGGAGCCAUCAGUGAGAUACCACUCUUGUAAUGUUAGAUUUCUAACUUUGGAUCAUUAUCUGGUCAAAGGACAGUUUCAGGCGGGCAGUUUGACUGGGGCGGUCGCCUCCUAAAUGGUAACGGAGGCGCACAAAGGUUUCCUCUGAACGGGUAGAAAUCGUAUCUAGAGUGUAAAGGCAUAAGGAAGCUUGACUGUGAGACCUACAAGUCGAGCAGGGACGAAAGUCGGUCUUAGUGAUCUGACGGUGCUGAGUGGAAAGGCCGUCACUCAACGGAUAAAAGUUACUCUAGGAUAACAGGCUGAUCUCCCCCAAGAGUUCACAUCGACGGGGAGGUUUGGCACCUCGAUGUCGGCUCAUCGCAUCCUGGGGCGGUAGUACGUCCCAAGGGUUGGGCUGUUCGCCCAUGAAAGCGGUACGCGAGCUGGGUUCAGAACGUCGUGAGACAGUUCGGUCCAUAUCCGGUGUAGGCGUUAGAAUAUUGAGAGGAGCCUUCUUUAGUACGAGAGGACCGAGAAGGACAUACCUCUGGUGUACCAGUUAUCGUGCCAACGGUAAACGCUGGGUAGCUAUGUGUGGAGAGGAUAACCGCUGAAAGCAUCUAAGUGGGAAGCCCACCUCAAGAUAAGUAUUCUC